RNAcentral lists this ribosomal RNA (464 nucleotides) under Vreelandella stevensii. RNAcentral's name for it is "partial 16S ribosomal RNA". It matches the Rfam family "Bacterial small subunit ribosomal RNA", at positions 338 to 795 of the family's 1533-position model. The record is from RNAcentral. Lineage: Bacteria; Pseudomonadati; Pseudomonadota; Gammaproteobacteria; Oceanospirillales; Halomonadaceae.
CCUACGGGGGGCAGCAGUGGGGAAUAUUGGACAAUGGGCGAAAGCCUGAUCCAGCCAUGCCGCGUGUGUGAAGAAGGCCUUCGGGUUGUAAAGCACUUUCAGUGGGGAAGAAAGCCUUGGGGCUAAUACCCUCGAGGAAGGACAUCACCCACAGAAGAAGCACCGGCUAACUCCGUGCCAGCAGCCGCGGUAAUACGGAGGGUCGAGCGUUAAUCGGAAUUACUGGGCGUAAAGCGCGCGUAGGCGGUCUGAUAAGCCGGUUGUGAAAGCCCCGGGCUCAACCUGGGAACGGCAUCCGGAACUGUCAGGCUAGAGUGCAGGAGAGGAAGGUAGAAUUCCCGGUGUAGCGGUGAAAUGCGUAGAGAUCGGGAGGAAUACCAGUGGCGAAGGCGGCCUUCUGGACUGACACUGACGCUGAGGUGCGAAAGCGUGGGUAGCAAACAGGAUUAGAUACCCCAGUAGUC